GCGAUAUUGGUCUAAUGGUAUGACGCAAGCUUCCCAAGCUUGAAACAAGAGUUCGAUUCUCUUAUGUCGCAC
Molecule: transfer RNA, 72 nt
Filed under: bioreactor metagenome
Description: tRNA-Gly
Rfam family: tRNA
About the family: Transfer RNA (tRNA) molecules are approximately 80 nucleotides in length.
Source: RNAcentral